GAUGAACGUUGGCGGCGUGCCUAAUACAUGCAAGUCGAACGAAGACUGUAGUAAUACUGUCUUAGUGGCGAACGGGUGAGUAACGCGUGGGUGACCUGCCCCGAAGUGUGGGAUAACAGUUCGAAAGGAUUGCUAAUACUGCAUAAUAUCCAAGAGAUUAGACGCUUUUGGAUUAAAGGAGUAAUUCGCUUCGGGAGGGGCCCGCGUCCCAUCAGCUAGUUGGUAAGGUAAUGGCUUACCAAGGCGAUGACGGGUAGGGGACCUGAGAGGGUGGCCCCCCACAAUGGAACUGAAACACGGUCCAUACACCUACGGGUGGCAGCAGUAGGGAAUAUUAGUAAUGGGCGAAAGCCUGAACUAGCAACGCCGCGUGUGCGAAGAAGGCCUUCGGGUUGUAAGCACUUUUGUAGAGGAUGAGGAAGGACGGUACGUCUCAGAAUAAGUCUCGGCUAACUACGUG
Molecule: ribosomal RNA, 460 nt
Filed under: uncultured bacterium
Lineage: Bacteria
Description: bacterial SSU rRNA
Rfam family: Bacterial small subunit ribosomal RNA
Source: RNAcentral